RNAcentral lists this ribosomal RNA (532 nucleotides) under Escherichia coli. RNAcentral's name for it is "bacterial SSU rRNA". It matches the Rfam family "Bacterial small subunit ribosomal RNA", at positions 79 to 608 of the family's 1533-position model. Lineage: Bacteria; Pseudomonadati; Pseudomonadota; Gammaproteobacteria; Enterobacterales; Enterobacteriaceae. The record is from RNAcentral.
GCUUCUUUGCUGACGAGUGGCGGACGGGUGAGUAAUGUCUGGGAAACUGCCUGAUGGAGGGGGAUAACUACUGGAAACGGUAGCUAAUACCGCAUAACGUCGCAAGACCAAAGAGGGGGACCUUCGGGCCUCUUGCCAUCGGAUGUGCCCAGAUGGGAUUAGCUAGUAGGUGGGGUAACGGCUCACCUAGGCGACGAUCCCUAGCUGGUCUGAGAGGAUGACCAGCCACACUGGAACUGAGACACGGUCCAGACUCCUACGGGAGGCAGCAGUGGGGAAUAUUGCACAAUGGGCGCAAGCCUGAUGCAGCCAUGCCGCGUGUAUGAAGAAGGCCUUCGGGUUGUAAAGUACUUUCAGCGGGGAGGAAGGGAGUAAAGUUAAUACCUUUGCUCAUUGACGUUACCCGCAGAAGAAGCACCGGCUAACUCCGUGCCAGCAGCCGCGGUAAUACGGAGGGUGCAAGCGUAAUCGGAAUUACUGGGCGUAAAGCGCACGCAGGCGGUUUGUUAAGUCAGAUGUGAAAUCCCCCCGG